This 497-nucleotide ribosomal RNA is filed under the name uncultured bacterium. Its description in RNAcentral is "partial 16S ribosomal RNA". It matches the Rfam family "Bacterial small subunit ribosomal RNA", at positions 28 to 507 of the family's 1533-position model. The record is from RNAcentral.
GAUGAACGCUGGCGGCGUGCCUAAUACAUGCAAGUCGAGCGAACGGACGAGAAGCUUGCUUCUCUGAUGUUAGCGGCGGACGGGUGAGUAACACGUGGAUAACCUACCUAUAAGACUGGGAUAACUUCGGGAAACCGUAGCUAAUACCGGAUAAUAUUUUGAACCGCAUGGUUCAAAAGUGAAAGACGGUCUUGCUGUCACUUAUAGAUGGAUCCGCGCUGCAUUAUCUAGUUGGUAAGGUAACGGCUUACCAAGGCAACGAUGCAUAGCCGACCUGAGAGGGUGAUCGGCCACACUGGAACUGAGACACGGUCCAGACUCCUACGGGAGGCAGCAGUAGGGAAUCUUCCGCAAUGGGCGAAAGCCUGACGGAGCAACGCCGCGUGAGUGAUGAAGGUCUUCGGAUCGUAAAGCUCUGUUAUUAGGGAAGAACAUAUGUGUAAGUAACUGUGCACAUCUUGACGGUACCUAAUCAGAAAGCCACGGCUAACUACGUG